RNAcentral lists this ribosomal RNA (253 nucleotides) under uncultured bacterium. RNAcentral's name for it is "partial 16S ribosomal RNA". It matches the Rfam family "Bacterial small subunit ribosomal RNA", at positions 524 to 776 of the family's 1533-position model. The record is from RNAcentral.
UACGGGGGGGGCAAGCGUUGUUCGGAAUUACUGGGCGUAAAGGGCGCGUAGGCGGCCUACUAAGUCGGACGUGAAAUCCCUCGGCUCAACCGAGGAACUGCGUCCGAUACUGGCAGGCUGGAAUCCGGGAGAGGGAUGUGGAAUUCCAGGUGUAGCGGUGAAAUGCGUAGAUAUCUGGAGGAACACCGGUGGCGAAGGCGGCAUCCUGGACCGGUAUUGACGCUGAGACGCGAAAGCGUGGGGAGCAAACAGG